Molecule: ribosomal RNA, 361 nt
Filed under: Eleutherodactylus atkinsi (Atkin's robber frog)
Lineage: Eukaryota; Metazoa; Chordata; Amphibia; Anura; Eleutherodactylidae
Description: partial 12S ribosomal RNA
Rfam family: Bacterial small subunit ribosomal RNA
Source: RNAcentral
GUCAGGGAACUACGAGCAAAGCUUAAAACCCAAAGGACUUGACGGUGCCCCAUAUCCCCCUAGAGGAGCCUGUCCUGUAAUCGAUAAUCCCCGUUUAACCUCACCAUAUCUAGCUUAUCAGCCUGUAUACUUCCGUCGCAAGCCUACCACAUGAGCGAAGCUUAGUUAGCCCAACGUCCACACAUAAAUGUGCUUAUGUCGACAAUACGUCAGGUCAAAGUGCAGCAAACGUUAUGGGAUGAGAUUGGCUACACUUUUUAACUUAAAAGAAACGGAAAACAAUAAUGAAACUUUGUCAGAAGGUGGAUUUAGUAGUAAAAGAAAAAUAUAAAAUUUCUUUUAACUCGGCACUGGGGUGUGU